GACGAACGCUGGCGGCGUGCCUAACACAUGCAAGUCGAGGGGCAGCAUAGGGUAGCAAUACUCUGAUGGCGACCGGCAAACGGGUGAGUAACGCGUAUGCAACCUACCCUGUACAGGGGGAUAACCCGGAGAAAUUCGGACUAAUAUCCCGUAAUAAUAUCCGGAGGCAUCUUUGGAUAUUUAAAGUUCCGACGGUACGGGAUGGGCAUGCGUAACAUUAACUGGUUGGUAAGGUAACGGCUUACCAAGGCUAUGAUGUUUAGGGGUCCUGAGAGGGUGGUCCCCCACACUGGUACUGAGACACGGACCAGACUCCUACGGGAGGCAGCAGUGAGGAAUAUUGGUCAAUGGGCGCAAGCCUGAACCAGCCAUCCCGCGUGCAGGAAGACGGCCCUAUGGGUUGUAAACUGCUUUUCCAGGGAGAGAAACUUACGCACGUGUUGCGUGACUGACGGUACCCUGGGAAUAAGCAUCGGCUAACUCCGUG
This 487-nucleotide ribosomal RNA is filed under the name uncultured bacterium. RNAcentral describes it as "bacterial SSU rRNA". It matches the Rfam family "Bacterial small subunit ribosomal RNA", at positions 28 to 507 of the family's 1533-position model. The record is from RNAcentral.